UGCAAAAUGUAGGAUGAUUAUAGAACAGGGGGUGGAAAAAAAUAUGGCAGCAGUUUAGCAGCUGCUUUCUCUCUCAUCUCUCAGGCUUUCUUAAAGAGCUGGACUGAAAAUCUCUUGAACUGCUUCCUUUAAGCUCAGUUGUCCUAAAUCCUUUCUUUCUCAGAAGGAAGGAAAGCUGCAUCCCUGAUAGCUGGUAUGCAAUGAAGGGACCAGAAGGAAAGUACUUUGCUUCAAGAAAGGACUGUGGUAGUAAUGAUCAAGAUGAUGCUUGCCACAAACUUUCUAAAAAACCACCAUUCACAAGACCAUAGCAGUUUCUUCUGAAAACACUAAUCCACAGAUAUCCAUGGCAGGCUAAGAGGUUAAGAGACGCAUCUAGAGAACUGGAAAAAAUUAUGAACAAGUCCUUUGUCUUGACCCUCAGUGUACUAUUUGGAUUCUUUAUUAUAGCAUUCACCUGGAACAAGGAACUGCAGCUUCUCUCCUGGAUACGGUCAGCUACAGAUGUGAUGCCCAUUUCUACAUGUAUGGAACAGUACUCGAAGCAGUCCUCAUUAGACUGAAGACACCUCUUGGAAAAUGCCAGCUCCUAGUUUCACUUGAUUUUCAACUGAGAAAAAUAAUGGAGCAAUUCUUCUAUUGCAAAGAACUCAGAAAGACCCCCAACAGCAGGAAUUAUAGAUGAAAGACAGACUCUUGCAAAUGAUUUAAGUUGUCUCUGGACUCACACCUGCAGCCCAGAUCCAUCCUCUGCAUCCAGUUUCUGCAUUGUCCAAUUAAGCACCAGGUCCCAGCAUUGUAAAGUCCUCCAGAGUGGGAGGAUGUACUUUCCAUGGCAAUCUGCUAACUCCAACUACAAGAGGGUCUAUUGCUGUUGCCCCAAAGUGGGCAAUGUUUGUCAGGAACGGAUAUGAUGAGGGCAAGCGAAGCAUGUUCUGAUUCAGCACAGCUCCUAUGCACAACUUAUCCAUGUCACAACCCUGCUUGGAAACUCCCAAGACUGAUGUUUGUGCCUCCUCCACCAGAUGCUAGAUGAAUCUGAGCAGACUGAAGUGUUGUCUCUUUACUUGGCAUCUCAUUACAUUUUUGGGGCACAGACUGUCUGUGUGUAAUCCCUUUACAGAAAUGUACGUUUAAGUCUAGCUGCCCAGGACCACCAUUUGGGUGCUUGUGGUUAAGUUCAUGACCCAACAAAGUCCAUCCCCUCUAGGACGGAAAGUGAUAGUAACAGUGUUGUUACUCAUCACCUUGGGAUAGAAGGGGAAGAAGAGAUUUGUUUCUACCUGAAAUUAGAGAGAAACAAAAUAAAAUUGUCGUACUUGGAAUCUGGCCAGAAAUUGGUACCAAGUCCCCAGUCCUUCUUUCUCACAAGUUCAGUGUAUAUGUGUUGCACAGAAAUAAAGCUUCAUGUCAGCAAUUAAUUACUGGUGGGACAAGGAAUUGAAAAAAGACUUGAACUGACCUCAGAUACAGCUUCCUUAUUCAUCUCAGCUGUUUUCAGAUUUUGCAUUGUAGUCUAACUGGACUAAGCACAGCAAGUUGUUAGUCACGCAAAUCAAAAAAUAUUCAGGUUUUUUCUUCUUUUACAGGCUUUCUAGUUGUGGCAGAUGGAUUUUGAAUUUAAGAGAGUAUGGAAAAGUUAAGAACUUUAAUCAGUAAGAGAAGUGCCUGUGAUCAAGAAAGUUUGAGCCUUGAUCAGGAUCUACAAUGACCAAAUUUCAGCCAUGACAGGUUGUUAACAAACCUGUUUGGCCUAACAUUAGUUAUCAGUCAAAUAUCUUGUUUCUAUAGGCAGACAUGUUCUUUGGGUAAAUCUGAUAUCUUUUAUUCUGUUUCUAUAAACACUUGCUCUGUUUCUAUAAACGCUUGCUCAAUGGUGCAAUAAUUCAGUGGUUUGUCAUGCACCUAUUCAUCUUCCUGGACUUGUUAAUGUUUAUGGAACCGUUCACUUUCAACUGGCUUAUAAAUUUAUUUUCCAGUCUCCCCAAAAGAUAAAACUUGAGAGAAAUUUCAUUUGGUUCUUAUCAUAACCCAAUGAUUUUUAGUGCCUCGGCACAUUGGAAUUUUCCUGCCACAUGGAGCUUUCUUUGCACGGUGGAUUUCUCAGCUGCAAAGAGAAAACCCGGUGCAAAGAGUUCCCGCCACACACAUGCAAAUUCGUACCCCAUUAUUGGCUGAUUCUAAAUUAUUCCUAUGUGGUGGCUAGCAAUUGGCUCGCUAGCCGUAUAAAAGGUCAGAGCAGUUUCCGCCCAAGCUGGAGGACUCCACAACCAUCUCGUGGGGAACUCUGAGCGCGCUAUGGAGCCUAGCAAACUCCGCGUGUGUCUUGGAGGAGGACAGAGAGGCCUGAUCAGCUCUUAGCCACUCCCGGUCAUAGUGUAAAUUUGAUGUAUCCCCCGUGUGAAGCGCUCGUGGAGUUGUAUAUCGACGACUCAUCUCGGUUCGGCGCGUUUCGGAAGAGAUCUCAUUUGUGUUUGUUUGUGUGCAACUGCAACUCAACUCAACUGCAACUCAAGCAAGUUUCCUUCCUGCACUGUGACCAUUGGCAGUGCCCUGAUUUGAUUCAGUGCAUCAGAUGGGUGGUGCUUAUGGAAAAAAAUCAAAGGUGCAUCGGGAAAGAUACCAUCAUUUCUAGACUUCUUCCUCAUUACUGAAGGAAUUGGAAGGUUCUUGAUUGCAAAGAUCACUUCUCACUUCUGGGUUGGAAGGUGUCACCCUCAGUCUACAAACCACUUGCUGUAGGUCAGGAUACAAAGUGAAGAAAAGCCUAUUCAAAGGAAAAAUGAAGUUUAGCCAAGAGUCAAUGCUGUGUCUUGGUCUUGGACUUGGGACUGGCCUUGAUAACCACCGGUUUCCAACAAGACAGAACUGAUAUAAAGUGGGAUCUUAAUGUGACUCUUUAUAUUGCCUUUGUGUUUCUUAAACAUAGUAUAUACCAAUACUAUAGUAUUACACUAUGCUAUGAAAAUAUCUGACAAAUACUUAAAAAUGCAGGGGUUUAAGUCUAAAGGCUAUUAAAAGAGUACUAAUUUUGCCCAUUAUUUUUUUUCAAUAUUGUUCUCUGAACCAUUGAAGCCUGAGAAAGUGUUUUUAUUUGUAUGGUUAACAUCAUUCUGUAUCCAAAGAGCACGGCAAUAUUUUCAAAUAAAAAAAUCUGUGGGAACCUUAUUAGAAAAAACUUCAGGGCUACACAGGACUCUGGUCAGUGUUCUUUGACAAAAUUAAAAAAAUAAAAAGUAGGUUCCAAAAAACUUGAAAAAGCAGCAGUAUUGAACCAAAAGGGGAUUGUCAGGUGAUUAUUUAACUGUAAAAGAAGGAAAUAUAGUAUGGAAUUAACAAGAACCUGGUUAGACAGAAAGUAAUACAUUUUUCACCAACAUAUUAAAAUAAAAAGCAGCUUUGUUUCUUUAACAGAACAUUACAUUUAUUUGGAAGGGAAAACAUACUUUUCUCUAAACAUUUCCAUAGUCCAAAUACUGACUCUGUGGUAUGACAAUCCUGUAGAAAGACAGACUUCCAGAAGGGGAGAUUUUAUCUCAUAACUGUACUUUCUUUUAGGAUUUUCUGCCCUAACUCAAGCUGUAAUAGAGAGGAAUUAAGUCGUGAAAGAUACUGAGAGACUCACUUUGGCAGAGAGGUCAUGAUGCCUUGAGUUAGAGGAGUUAUUUGUAGACAUGGGUAAAUCUUAUUUUAGUGAAUAGUUUACUUACAACAAAUGUAGUUUCAGACACUAUUCAUGACUUUAGAUGCAGCUUAGCAAAUACUUUUGGCUAAUAAAAAGAAUGACAACAAAAUUUAGAAAAGUUGGAACAACGUGUUUGUUUUAAUAGUGGGACUUGGCCCAUGUGCUCAAAACUACCAAAGAUCACCACCCAGGCCCCGGUGCACCCUGUACCCCAGUGGUUCCCUGGAGAGAUAGGAUACCUGAAUUCAUAUCCCCUUUCUGCCCAAUUUGAAACGUAUCCCACUUUUCAAACUCCUAACCACUGGACUAUAAACAAGCACUCUGCACCUCCUUUCUUUCUGCACUGGGUUUGUGAAUGGUGUUAUUACAGUCUCCCUGUAAAUGUAAUUAUUUCAUUUUGUUCAACUGCAAAUUAACUAUUUGUAAUUUUCCAAAAUGUUUGGAGAAAAUAAGUGUUUUUUUCUUUUGCUUCCUUUUCUUUUCCUUCCAUCUCUGAAAACAGAGAAAAAUCAGUUAUUCACACAGCUUUACAUAGCCUCACUUCUAACUUUGUCUGCCUUGUUUACCAUGGAUCAUAUCCUGACUGGAUCCCUAUACCGUGUAGAGAUAUGUCUGAAUAAUAAUUGUAAUUUAAACAUAUAAUUACAUUGGUUUAUCCAUGGGGUUUCUUGGAAAAAAAGAGCAAAAAAUCCAUCUUCCUUCCUUCCUGGGAGCACAUUCCUUUAUUCUGUAUAUGAUUAUAAAUGGCUAAUGGACAAGGACAAUGUUUAAGGUUAAUGUUUUAUACUUAAUGUGAAUAGGUUUUUAGGAAAGGUCAUGACAAUCUAAACUAGGAGGUGAACCUACAGAAAAUUAGCUAAGUCAUAUAAUAAAUUAAUGUUGUUUUUCAGGGUGUUCACAAGCAAUUGUGACAUCACAAUACAAAUGUAUCAUUCUCAUGGACAAUUUCAAGGUGAAGGAAACAAAAACAUUAAACAGAAAUGUAUCUGUAGGCUCAAUUUAUCUUGGAGUAAAUAUCAAAGUGAAAAUAUAUAUUAUGUGUCAAAUGCAGUUGAAGACCUCAAUAAAUGUGUGUGUGAAGUGUUUUGAAAAAAGUUAAAUUAUAAACAAAAUAAGGUCAUCAAUAGGUAAUAGAAAGCCAUCAUGUUCGAAACGAUACAAAACCAAACAAAAAUCAACAUGCCAAAUACCAGUCUGUGUCAUAAGAGCACUUACGGGAUUUUCUAGCUAUUGACUGGAAAGCACUGAACAAGUCUCUUCUCAGACAUUCCUAACUUCCCCGUGUAAUUAGUCAAAUUCUACUCUCCGCUGUUAUACCCAAUGGGACUUUAUGGUGUAAUGGAAGCAGAAUUUGGCAGUACAUAUUAGCAACGUCAAUAACACUAAACCUAUAAGAGUUGUGUGUCAGUUUGCAAUAUAAUUUAUAAUAAAGGUUCUGUCAGCUGU
Long non-coding RNA from Alligator mississippiensis (American alligator), 5131 nucleotides. RefSeq lists it as uncharacterized. The record is from RefSeq and is a predicted model, not a curated record. Lineage: Eukaryota; Metazoa; Chordata; Crocodylia; Alligatoridae. The transcript is spliced from 9 exons.